Molecule: ribosomal RNA, 253 nt
Filed under: uncultured bacterium
Lineage: Bacteria
Description: partial 16S ribosomal RNA
Rfam family: Bacterial small subunit ribosomal RNA
Source: RNAcentral
UACGGAGGGUGCAAGCGUUAAUCGGAAUUACUGGGCGUAAAGCGUGCGUAGGCGGUUUGUUAAGUUAGAUGUGAAAGCCCUGGGCUCAACCUGGGAACUGCAUUUAAAACUGGCAGACUAGAGUUUAAUAGAGGGGAGUGGAAUUUCAGGUGUAGCGGUGAAAUGCGUAGAGAUCUGAAGGAACACCAGUGGCGAAGGCGACUCCCUGGAUUAAAACUGACGCUGAGGUACGAAAGCGUGGGUAGCAAACAGG